GGGCCUGUAGCUCAUCAGGAUAGAGCAGCGGUUUCCUAAACCGCGUGCGGGAGGUUCGAGUCCUCUCAGGCCCACCA
Molecule: transfer RNA, 77 nt
Filed under: Omnitrophica WOR_2 bacterium SM23_29
Lineage: Bacteria; Pseudomonadati; Candidatus Omnitrophota
Also listed under: 3 other names
Description: tRNA-Arg
Rfam family: tRNA
About the family: Transfer RNA (tRNA) molecules are approximately 80 nucleotides in length. Their secondary structure includes four short double-helical elements and three loops (D, anti-codon, and T loops). Further hydrogen bonds mediate the characteristic L-shaped molecular structure. tRNAs have two regions of fundamental functional importance: the anti-codon, which is responsible for specific mRNA codon recognition, and the 3' end, to which the tRNAs corresponding amino acid is attached (by aminoacyl-tRNA synthetases). tRNAs cope with the degeneracy of the genetic code in two manners: having more than one tRNA (with a specific anti-codon) for a particular amino acid; and 'wobble' base-pairing, i.e. permitting non-standard base-pairing at the 3rd anti-codon position.
Source: RNAcentral